This 465-nucleotide ribosomal RNA is filed under the name Vreelandella stevensii. Its description in RNAcentral is "partial 16S ribosomal RNA". It matches the Rfam family "Bacterial small subunit ribosomal RNA", at positions 338 to 795 of the family's 1533-position model. Lineage: Bacteria; Pseudomonadati; Pseudomonadota; Gammaproteobacteria; Oceanospirillales; Halomonadaceae. The record is from RNAcentral.
CCUACGGGUGGCUGCAGUGGGGAAUAUUGGACAAUGGGCGAAAGCCUGAUCCAGCCAUGCCGCGUGUGUGAAGAAGGCCUUCGGGUUGUAAAGCACUUUCAGUGGGGAAGAAAGCCUUAGGGCUAAUACCCUCGAGGAAGGACAUCACCCACAGAAGAAGCACCGGCUAACUCCGUGCCAGCAGCCGCGGUAAUACGGAGGGUGCGAGCGUUAAUCGGAAUUACUGGGCGUAAAGCGCGCGUAGGCGGUCUGAUAAGCCGGUUGUGAAAGCCCCGGGCUCAACCUGGGAACGGCAUCCGGAACUGUCAGGCUAGAGUGCAGGAGAGGAAGGUAGAAUUCCCGGUGUAGCGGUGAAAUGCGUAGAGAUCGGGAGGAAUACCAGUGGCGAAGGCGGCCUUCUGGACUGACACUGACGCUGAGGUGCGAAAGCGUGGGUAGCAAACAGGAUUAGAUACCCGGGUAGUC